AGCCUGAUGUCAUCUCACAGCUCACUGAGGCUCUGUUCAUUUUAUUUUUAAGGCUUUUAUUUUUCUUACUUUAUUAUGGAUAGUUUCUAUCACUAUGUUUACUCUCAUUGUUCAACUUUCUUCCACUGUAUGCAAUCUGCUGUUAAUCCCAUCCAAUGGAAUUUUAACAUCAGAUAAUGUAUUUUUUAUCUCUAGAAGUUUCAUUUCCAUCUUCAUAUUUUUCUCCUCAUCAGGUCUGUGUUUUCCCCUACCUUUUUUUUCUUUUUUUUAAAAAAGAUUUUAUUUAUUUAUUCAUGAGAGUCAGAGAGAGGCAGAGACAUAGGCAGAGGGAGAAGCAGGCUCUUCACAGGGAGCCCAAUGUGGGACUAGGUUCAUCCCCUGAGCUGAAGGCAGAUGCUCAACCGUUGAGCCACCCAGGUGUCACAUACUCUAUCUUAAGCAUAUGGAAUUUAUUUAUAAUAACUGUUUUAGCAUUCUUGCCUACUAAUUCCAUCAUCUCUGUCAUUUUUGCAUCUGGUACCAUGGGUUAAUUUUUCUCCUGGUAUGGAUUCUAUUUUCCUGCUUUUAAAAUACCCAAUAAUAUUUUAUUGGAUGUACAACACUGAAUUUUACAUUGCUGGGUUUUGGAAUUUGUUGUUUUCCCUUAAAGAAUGUUGUACUCUGUUCUAGCAUGUUUUUAUUUAGGCAAAGUUUGAUCCCUUCAAGCUUGCUUUUAAAUUUGUUAGUGUAGGUCAGGAGUAGCCUUUAGGGUAGAGCUAAUACACCCCUACUACUAAGGCAGUAUCUUCUGAGGAGUACUUAAAUUCCUGCUUAUUGUGAAGUCUUUCCAUUCACAGAGAGCCUUGUGUGAGCUCUAGGAAUUAUUCAGCCUACUGCUUUGUGCAGAUUCUUUCCCUGGCCCCAAGUGGCUUCUUCUGACAUAUGCAGAAAUCUAAACUUAGCCAAAGACUUGAGGGGAUCCCUUUUCAGUUUCUCUCUUUACAGUCCCUCUUCUCUGGGUCUCUGUCCCACAAAUACAAGCCACCUAGGUCGUCCCUAUCUCUAUCUCCUCUACCCAGUGAGACCAUUGGGCGCUCUCUUUGGUUUCUUCUUCCCUGUACUGCAGCCUGGAAACUACCUCUAGGCAGUUAGCUGGGGCAAGUGUGAGACUCAUUUCAUUUGUUUCUCUUCUCUCAGGGAUCUUGGUCUUGGGCUGCCUGUUGUUCAGUGUCUGGUUUUCUAGUUGGUUAAGGUAAGAGUAUAAAUCUAAUCCUGUUAUUUCUUCAUGGCCAGAAGCAGAAGUCCACUCUGCCAUAUUUCAAAAACAUUACAAACAAUCCAGAUAAUAAAGUAUAUCUAGUUCAGUAAUUAAAUUUCCUUAAACCUGGCUAAAAAUAGCUAGGUUUUGCUUCUACCUAAGCUACACAUAGUCUCUGAACUUCAGAAGUCUGUCAUCUGAUACAAUAUCCUGACAAAUUUCAAACUGUCUUUGGAUCUAAGACAUAUUAUAUACACGGUAAGAGCAAAGGAACAAGAGGAGUGGGUUUAAAGGUUUAAAAAGGCUUGGCUGACUUGAAAUAAGGCAAAGUUUCUUGGGAAGGUCUUUGGCUAGAUGGGGUUGCAUACAGAUGGGCAUAAGUUUGUGCACCGUGUGUGCUGUGAAUAAAGAAGCAGGCUUCAUUUUAUAGAUGACAGAAGAUAACAUUAAAGUUGUAAAUUUUUUAGAUUUUUAAGGAUAGGAACCUAAAGCAAAUUGAAAUCAUGAAGUCAAUUUUGAAUUACAAUUCAUUUUUCCUAUUAGUUUUCCUUCAAGAAGGUGAAUUCCAUCACAUAUGAAAUUCCAAACUCACAAAACUGAAUAAUCCAUUUAAAGGUUUUGUGGAAGAAACAAAAUGGCUUUUUUAGAUAUCUCAAAGGCCAGGUUUAUUGCACCUUGCAGAGCUAAUACAGGCCUUCCUUCCAUUCAAUACAUUCCAUACAAGGAUACUCCGAGCCUUCAAAGUAUUUACAGAGGUCUAUACACAGCACUUUAUCUUUAUAAUAAUGCUGCAAGAUAGUCAGGGUCAGAAAUAUGGUCUUCAGUUUGCAAACGAGGGCACAAUUUAUCUAGUGCGUGAAAGAGCUAGGCAGUAUCACUCUAGUUUUCUUGACAUCUUCAAAACUCACUAAAAUUUAGCUCCUUUGACUUCAUCUUUUUUAACAUGGCAAGGUACAAACUUCAUUGUGCUCAUGAUGUAUUUGAUACUGGUCAAUCUAACAAGGGACAUCAUAAAGUUUGCUGAAAAGAUGCAUGCAUGUGAAGGUAUGUCACUAUUAGAGAAGUCAGGCAUAUAUGCUGUGAGGGGCAAUAGCUUAGAGCUAUAUAACAUAAACCAUCUUACACUAUAGACUAACCCAGGAUUUUCAUUAAAGCCUUGUCAUCUAAACAAAAGGACAAAGAAGUUCAGAACAUCAAAAUGAGAUUAUUGUCCUAAGCAAGUGAUACUGCUUUGACUAUGCUACUUACAGAGCACAGGACUUUAAUAGUUUUCAAACUACAUUUUAAAAAGCAAUUGUUUUAAAAAAAAUAGAAAAGCAACUGUUUAACUGGAGAAAGAAGCCAUGGCAUUAGGAAGAUAUGUGUUGGCUCAGAAUGGCAACAGCUCCAACAUUACUCACAGUGUUCAGCCACAUUUUCAGAGUUGACACCAUAUCCCUUUUAAGAGCUGAUGGGCCAUUCCUGCCCUGGCACACCAGAUGGACAAGAGCCAUUGUCUGGCACGUGAAGUGAAAUGGAAUAUUCCAAGGUUAUACUAGGCCAAAAGACACUACAAGCUAAGUCAUAUGGUUAUAAAGAUAACACUAAAUAAAGCUCUUUUAAAAUAAACACAAAUAAAAAAUAGUCUGGAUAUUCUUUUCUUUCUUUUUUUAAAAAAACAUUUCUCUGGGUGAAAGAAAGGAGAGGCUGGAAAUACUGAUAAAAGAGAAGAGACUGGCUAAUAGGAAGAGGGAGAAAGGAGAAAGACUAACCAAGGAUAGAUAUACCACAAAGCUCUGGCCUAAGAACAUAAAUAUGUGCUGGUCCAUUUCACUUUGCCAUUAGAUCCAGCUCAGUGACUCUUAUGGAGGAUAAGGAUACCCUGCAGACUUGAGGGAGGAGUCAAAUCAGAGCCUGGCGUGAAGCUGGAGUUUGUACGUAUGUACUCUGAAAAACACAUACAGUUGAUCAGUUAUUCUUAUAUUACAAACCACAGGAAGUAAAGCACAAAAGAAUCCCUGGGCUAAUGUGGACAGGCCAAAGAUGAGUAAGAAAGCAUUUCAGGGUCACAAAGGCCGGGAAACAGUUAUAUAUAAGAAAUUCUAGUACCUAUCUUUUUCAAAAAAUGAUGUGGGAUUGUAUUACUUCCUAUAUGACCUCUUGUGGUUCACUCUUUCUCUUAAUUGCUUCUUCGAUUGGAAUUUGUGAAAGACGCAGUCUGUAGAAGGCAGUAAUGAACAAGCUGAUGUGAGAAAGUAAGCAAGAUAACAGUGGUUCACACUACUUUGGCUAUUUCUAUAUGCAGUCAGCAGGAAAAAAAUCUAAUGCUUCACCUGAAGAGUAGCACUAUUCCUUCCAGUCUCCACACCUGGUCCCUGAAGACAUUAGACAACUACUAACAAAAUACAGAAUAGUUUCAUUAACCAUUUCUCUGUACAUAAAGAUUCUUUAAAAGUCAGUGUGAUCACAGAAGGAGCUCCUCAGUGCUGCAUGGGUGGUGUCAGUGGUCUCAGAAGGUGGUAUACUCCAUGAAAGGUCACCUGAAAAAGGGAAUGUGACAGCCACGUGGGGAAUCGUACCAAGACAGAAAGGAGAUCAGAGCACCAGGGCCUUUAGACUGAGGGACCUUCUGAGUACACAACAGGCAGUCGACAUCCUCUAUAGUGUUUUAUGCUGUUACCACUUUUUAAGAAUAUAUUCACUUUUAAAACUUACAUAAAGUCCAUGCUAUGUCAUUUAUAAACCAGGCACAGGUGUUACUGAUAAUAAAUAUUAAAAUACUUUGAUUUACCAAUAACAAACCUAUUGUAUUAACAAACCACCACAUUAUAGAUAUGGACUAAAUGAAGACAGAAGUCUAAAUUGCAAAAUUAAUUAACCAACAAAGAAAUAGCAUUUAGCUUCAAAAGUGGCAUAUAGUGAGGAUCUAAGAGAAUUACAAGAACCAUAUCAGCUAUUUAAUAAUCUCAUCACUUUUUACAUAUUUUAAGUGAUAGAAAAGACACCUGUGGCAAAUGCCUACCUGGGAGUAACACCUGAAACCUUUCUAUUUGUGUGGAGAGCAAGAGACUACAGAACAGCUGGACAACAAGCACAGGAAAAAUAAGUCUUGUCAUUGGAACUAAACUGCUUAGCAAAGCUUGACACAAUUAUGUCUCUCCUGAUAGAAGCUAUAAAUAAACCCAAAUAAUAAUAGAAUGCUAUGGUCAAAAAAAAAAAAAAAGUGACUCUGGAAGGAAAGAGGACUAAUUUUAAAGAGUGACAAACUUACUACUGGUCCUAAACUGUAAACAAUGAAAGGAAAAAAACCCCACUGGGAGAGAUUAUUUAGGGGACUAUGAAAGACUUUUGACCUGAAAUACACAAUUUUUGCAAAGUUCUUUCCCUAUCUUAAAAAAAAAAAACCUUUUUAUUCUAGAAUGAGAAAAAUUAAUCUUUUAAGCCCCCUUUCACCACUGUAAUCUUUCUAAUCUUUUAACGAUCUUCAUUUAAGAAAUAAUAAAGAAAAAGUUAAUUAAAAACUGGGCAAAAUGUUUUUGACUCUUCAGAAAUACCUCAAGUAAGGAAAAGAAAGUCUUGAAUCACUCCUUGGGUAAACACAUCUGAGUGAAAGACACAUUCCCAUGUGAGGAAAGGAUGGUGUCUGUUUAUGCCAAAAGUCUGCUUCACUUUUCAAUUUAUUUGUGCUUUCAGAGCCUUCCAUUGACAACGACAGAAGAAACAUGUAGCUUUAACAGCUCUGCCCAAUCCCCUAAACAGCAUCAGAUGCCAAAGACCCGAAGAUACUUCAUGGGAUAAAAACACCUCUAAUACAAUUUGCAGUAUUUUAAACUAAGAAAGACACUCAUUAAUUGAUUUUAGUGGAGGAAGAGGGCAGUUUUGGGAGAAGGCAGAAAUUGGUAAGUACUGAUCUACACCACCCAUUUUCUUAUUAGUGCUUCUCUAAACAAAAAAGAGAUCAUUGGUGAUUUCUAAAAAGGAAAACCCCAAAGUGACAUUUUCUGAAAAGUAAAUUGAAGAGAACUUUCAUCAUAAAUUAAUAUAUACAGCAGUUUUAUAAUGAGAUCAACUUCCAAACCAAUAAAUUAGAGGUUAUUGUUGCAGGGACAGCAAGAGACUUUAUAACAGAAAACUUGCAGCAACGGCUAAUCCCCAUGUCUAGAUUUAUAUUAAUUAAGGAGCAAUCCAUAUGCAUAGGGAAACACUAAAUAGAAGCAGGUCAAAGCCAGGGCUAAACAUUGAGGUCAGUGUGUCUAAAUUUACACAAAGAUUAUAAUGAGACAAACUUAACUGACAAAUAUACUCUGCUGAGUCCCAUCAAAUUCGAGUUUGUAGAGCAAAGAGCCUUAAAUGAAAAUUAAAUACUUAUCUUUAAAGGAUAGUUGAUUUAAAAGAAAUUUAAUAAGCAUGUAUUAUUUUUAUGAGAAAAAACUGAAGAUACUUUCAUUUUGAAAAAAAGAAAACCCGAUACCGAGACAUAUUCAAGGAGUACAUCUAGACCCUUUUUUUUUAACCUUUAAGAUAUCCUUGUGCCACCAUGAAAACUAUGAAUAUGCAACAUAGACAGAGUUCCCCAAAUGUAACUCCCAAAGGAGCUUAAAUCAAUGGCUCCUUUGUCUAGUAUGAUAACUGCAACUUUAAAUCACCUUUCCAGAGAAUUAAACAAGCAAAUGAAAACCUCCCCCCGCAACAAGUAACCUUUCACUUAAAAAUUUUCACCAAAUUGGACACAGAUUAUUUUGAACUCAGGUGUGAUGAACUCAAAGCUAUCCACAAUAUUCUGAGUGUGAAUCUACUGAAAGGAUGCAUUUUCUGUAGGAAUGGAACCAUUCUGAAUAAGGCUAAUGUUAAGCUACACCAGCCCUAUCAGCCUCUUGCCUAUAUAAAACUGUAGACAUUCCUCAGGUAGAUGAAUCCUCCUAGAGAGGAGCAGGAGUGGCUGGUGAUCUUAUGUGCCUUUUUCCCCAGUGUAGCAGGGUUAUUUACUAUUCAUGCACUGUAGCUGAGCGAUCUUUUCUAAAGCUCGUCUUAUAAAAAUCUAAUGCUGGUACUCAAAGCUAGAUAAACUAUAAACAUCUCCUCUAGGUCUCCAUUACUCCUAACUUCCCCCUAUGUAUUUGAAUUAGACUGUGUAUGAACAUGUUUCCAUCACUAGAGCCAGUCUAGACAGAAAGUCAGUCACUGGAGUAUGCAUGUGGCCACAAUGCUCUGUAUAAAAGGUUAUGCACCUCACCGGUGCAAGCAGUUGCCCUAUAAGGUACUACCCAUACCUGCUGACAGUCACACAGUUAGAUAGGUUUUUGUAACUUGCCCUCAGCACUUGAAUAUUACAAAAAAAUAUGACUUAUUUGGGGAAAUGCUCUCAGAGGGAUGGCAGCACUGAAUUAGGGGGAAAAUACCCUUCUAUUUUCAAGAAAAGAUAAAUUGGGAUGUUUAUUAUUCAAGCUUUUAAGUGCUUUAUUUGGCAAUAGGUUUCUCCAUAGGAUAUUCUUAAACAGGAGGUUUUUAAAAUAUAUCUAAAACAUUUUGAUUUAUGAUUUUUUCCCCAGGAACACCAUGAGUUGUGGAAAUAUGCCUAUAGCUUAAAGAACUCCUAUAUUGCUUAUUACACAAAUUCCACACCAAUAGAACGUGACCAAAAAUUCAACA
This 6865-nucleotide long non-coding RNA is filed under the name Canis lupus familiaris (dog). RNAcentral describes it as "lncRNA (ENSCAFG00000050784.1)". Lineage: Eukaryota; Metazoa; Chordata; Mammalia; Carnivora; Canidae. The record is from RNAcentral.